GACUGAGGUGGUACCGAGUGGUCGAAGGCGAUGGACUGCUAAAAUUUCAUUGUGCUCUGCACGCGUUUGGGUUCGAAUCCCAUCCGCUCGUCG
This 93-nucleotide transfer RNA is filed under the name Pleuronectes platessa (European plaice). RNAcentral describes it as "tRNA-Ser". Lineage: Eukaryota; Metazoa; Chordata; Actinopteri; Pleuronectiformes; Pleuronectidae. The record is from RNAcentral.